CAACAAGGCCACAUUUCCUAAUAUAGUAACAUUCCUGUGGGCCAAGCAUUCAAGCACAUAAGACUAUAGGUGCCAAACCUCUUCAAACCACCAUAAUGGGCCAGGAGGAAAGGCUGAGAGAGGCAUCGGGAAAGAUAUGGUGGCCCAGGUGCUGGGUUCUUCCAUCAGUGCUGAGAGGUAGAAUCUCUAGGGAAUGGAGGUAGCCUGUGAAGACCUGUUUGUGCCUACCUGUGGCUUCUGUGGCAGUACCCAUGUGUGCUCAGCCUGUAUGCCUGAGUGUCUGCCAGAAUCUGCCUACCAAGUAGCCUGUGUGCUGGGUUGCUGGCUUCUGGAAGAUGCAUAUUGCCUUGGUGGUUUACGCUGGUGCUUUUGUGCUGGGAUCUAUGCAUCCAUAGCUGUGUUCCUAAGAAUUAUUGAUUUUUAGGAAGAAAAAAAGAAGGAAAGAAAGAGAGGGAAAUUACUAAGUUCUGUAAGUAAGGCUAAGAAAUGACUCAGCGGUGAAGAGAGCUUUCUGCUUUCAGCUCCCAGCAUCUAUUUCGAGUGGCUCAUAACCACCUGUUAACACUAGCUCUAGGAUAUCACAACUUCUUCUGGCCUCUGCAGCACCUGCACAGAUGCUACAUACAUACACACUCACAUCACACACACCACACACAC
This is a long non-coding RNA of Mus musculus (house mouse), 657 nucleotides long. RefSeq annotates it as predicted gene, 36257. NCBI's taxonomy places the organism in Eukaryota, Metazoa, Chordata, Mammalia, Rodentia, Muridae. The transcript is spliced from 5 exons. The record is from RefSeq and is a predicted model, not a curated record.